UACGGGGGGAGCAAGCGUUGUUCGGAUUUACUGGGCGUAAAGGGUGCGUAGGUGGCGCCAUAAGUCGGGUGUGAAAUUUCGGAGCUUAACUCCGAAACUGCAUUCGAUACUGUGGUGCUUGAGGACUGGAGAGGAGACUGGAAUUCACGGUGUAGCAGUGAAAUGCGUAGAGAUCGUGAGGAAUACCAGUGGCGAAGGCGGGUCUCUGGACAGUUCCUGACACUGAGGCACGAAGGCCAGGGGAGCAAACGGG
This 253-nucleotide ribosomal RNA is filed under the name uncultured bacterium. RNAcentral describes it as "partial 16S ribosomal RNA". It matches the Rfam family "Bacterial small subunit ribosomal RNA", at positions 524 to 776 of the family's 1533-position model. The record is from RNAcentral.